CCAGUAUCCAGAAUAUAAAAAGAACUCUUAGAAUUCAGCAAAGAAAAAACUCCAAAUAAAAAUCGGAGGAUUUGAAUAAGCAUUUCUUCAAAGAAGAUACAUAAAUGUCCAAUAAACACAUAAAAAGAUGCUCAACAUCAUUAGUCCUUAGGGAAAUGCAAAUCAAAAUCACAGUGAGAUACCACUUCAUACCCACUAGGAUGGCUAUAAACAAAAAGGUGGACAAUAACAAGUUUUAGUAAGGCCAUGGAGAAAUUGAAACCCAAUUGCUGGUGAGGAUGUAUGAACUAUACAAUGCUGGCUCAGCUGUUUUGGAAAACAGAUUGGCAGUUCCUCAAAAGGUUAAACCUAGAGUUACCACGUGACCCAGCAAUUCCAGUCCCAGGUACCUAAGAGAAUUGAAAACAUACGUCCACACAGGGGCUGGCCCCAUGGCCGAGUGGUUAAGUUCGCGCGCUCCGCUGCAGGCGGCCCAGUGUUUCGUUGGUUCGAAUCCUGGGCGCAGACAUGGCACUGCUUGUCAGACCACGCUGAGGCAGCGUCCCACAUACCACAACUAGAAGAACCCACAACGAGAAAUAUACAACUAUGUACUGGGGGGCUUUGGGGAGAAAAAGGAAAAAAUAAAAAAAAAAUAAAAAAUAAAACAUACGUCCACACAAAAACUUGUAUGCAAAUAUUCAUAUUCAUAACCAAAGAGGAGAAACAACUCAAAUGCUUAUCAGUCGAUGAAUGGAUGAAUACAAUGUGGUAUAUCCAUAUGAUAGAAUAAUACCAACCAUAAAAGGAAUGAAGUACUCACGCAUGCUACAACAUAGAUGAACUUUGAAAACAUGACAGAAGCAAGACACAAAAGACCUCGUAUUAUAUGAUUCCAUUUAUAUACAAUGUCCAAAUCAGCAAAUCCAUAGACACAGAAAGUAGAUGAAGGGUUUCCACGGUCUAGGGGGAGGAGAAAGUGAGUAGUGACUGCUAAUGCAUGUGGGGUUUCUUUUUGGGGUGAUGGAAAUGGUCUGGAGUUAGUGGGAAUGAUUGCACAAGCUUGUGAAUAUACUAAAACCCACUGUAUUGUACACUUUAAAUGGAUGAAUUUUAUGGCAUGUGAAUUAUAUCUCAAUUUUAAAAUCAAAGCCAGUGAUGCAACUUCCUUUACAUAUCUGUCAAUAAACUAUUUUUGGAUAGACUAACAAUCCUUCCAGAAGCCAUGAAUGGCACUGCUGUCACUGUGGCUAUGAAACGGAUGGAAACUCAGUUAACAGCUCAUCUGGUUUCGGAAUCUGUUCUCGAUGGUUAACAGCAGCAUCAGGCCAAUAGUACAGUAAUUUAAAAAUCUCAGCUGGUGAGCAUUCCCACUCUCUUAAUCCAUUGAUCAAACAGUCACCAUUCCACUGAGGGCCCCCAAGGACCAAGGUCCACUGCAAGUAGAACACCAUGAAAUUAAUGUGUUCGAAAAUAUAAUCAAGUGAAAAAUUCUGUAGAAUACUAGGAAAUACUCUUCUGUAAAGUACUUGGAAAUGAUAUUUGCUUUUUUCCUAGUUUGCAAUACUGCGUUUUGGUACCAUUCUUUACCUAAAACAAAAAUGUUCAGGGAGGUAUUCUUUACUAAAGGUCCUAUCUUUUCAGCAUAAUUAUUAAUUAGUUGUGUAUGUUUUAUCAGGCAUUCCAAAAGUACCUCCUUAAUCCAAGGCGGCUCACGAUUCUCUGAAAUUGAUAUGUCACUGCUAGAUUUACUGACCAAACAAUUACAUCCUCUGUGGGGGUCUACAGUCUAAUUCAGUGGACCAAAACCAUGUCUAGAUUUUAAGUUAAAAGGUAGAGAAUUUUAAAUUGUAUGUAAGAAGCAGUAGUUACAUCUUGUUCUCUUCAGGUAUGUGUUCUUUAUUUUUAGUCGAUUGGGCUGGUAAAGAAUUCUAUGAGAAAAAACAUAAAAUCCAGCUGUAACAUUAUUCGUGUGAUCUUACUAUUUGAAAUAAUCCAGGUAAAUUGUGUUUCGAGCUCUUUCUGAGUCUGGUACAUCGAUUAUACGAUCUGAUCUUGCAUCAAAGCCCUCAGCAGACUACCCUCCCAGGGAAAACCCGCUCUUUUUUAGCUACUAUAGGAAUAUGCCUUAACCCCAGUCUUCCUGCAAGGAUUCUCUAUCAUAUAAUAUUUUUUAUAGUUUAUAAUUCUUAUUAAAGUAGCCUUAUUCUGAUUACAAAAGCAACACUGCAGCCUAGAGAAAAGUAUAAAGAAAAAGCUUACCAUCCCAGCAAAACCCCCAUCUUUUGAUAAGUAUUUGUCUAUCUUUCCACUCUUUUCUACGCCUCCCACACGCAUACAUGUGGAUUUACUUAAAUGGUAUCUUAGUAUACAUACGAUUUUAUAACCUGCUAUCUUUACCUCAUAUAUCGUGAAAAUCCAUAUCAAUAAAUACAAAUAUACAUAAUCACUGGCUGCACAGUGCUACAUUUCUACCAAUAUUAUUUAAUAUGUUAUAUAUAUACUUAAUAUAUUUUUAAACAAAAAGUUUUUUUCUAUUGUAUUUGAAAAUAGUAAUUUCUUUCCAUGUCUUCCUCCAUGUAGUACCAGUUUAUUUGGGAAGGCAGAUGGGAGAUUAACUCUUUCAUAAGCAAGUAUUAGAUUGCCACUACUUUUACAAACACACUUGAUUGGUCUAGCUCUUUUCAACCAGAGCAAUCUUGGAAAACUCUAUCCUCUUCUUUAAUGUCAAAUUCGCUGUGACCAGAGCCCUCAAAUAGGGUGCUAACUGUUUAGUACGCCAUGACCACUUAGAGUUUUCAGUAAAGAGGUUUCCCCAAAACGUUUCCACUUGGCGUAUUUUUUUUAAAACAACAAGAAGAAAAAUGACCUGGGAUUUGAUCAAUUAAGCUUUUGUUUAAUGUUAAAUUUACAGCAUUGAUUUACAUCAAAUUUGUGGCCAAAAUAUUUAUAGUUAGCAUAAUCGUCUGGGGUCACAGCAAAAAUAAGAGAUGGAAUCUAGCUUUAAAAGGAGCAGCUCACAGAAAGAGCUGCAUUACUGCCAGUGAGAAAACGAGAAAACGGCAUUGAGAAGAUGAGGGGAACAGCAGGAGGGCGUGAGUCAGCCGUAGAGGAGCAAACCGCACCCUUGGGGGAGUCUUCAUGGCUCCCAUCCAAGCGGCUGAGGAGCUCUGCAGACUUAGGAAAUGUGAAGAGUAAAGAGAUCAGAGUAAGGAGAAAAGACAAGGGGGAAAAUGCUGAAAAGUACCACUGCUUCAGGAAGACGGCAUUGCUUAAAACAGAAACGAGCCUGAUUUGACCAGUACCUGUGUUUUCUUUCCAUCCUCUUUCCUUCAACUAUAUGUAUCCUGUUUAGUAAAAUAGAAUCCAAAUUUAAGGAAAGAAAUUGAAUUUGGUACCAUUGGUCCCCUCCUCUGCCUCUAGCCAACCACAGUCCUGGACUCACAGCGCCCUGACUUUGCUGGAGUCAGGUGCUUACCUCUCAGCAGCCGAUACUGCUUACGGGCUGGGGGAGUGUGGCCUUGUCUUGAUGGCCACGGUGGUUGUGGUUCUUCUGAAGAACCCAGACUGAAGGUGAGCACAUCUCUGUCUACCCUGUAGGAGGCUAAGCUACGUGACUAUUUGAAGAUCAAGAGAAGCCUGAGGUUUUGCAGGCCUUUAGACAAGCCCUAACUGAAUGAGAUAAUAUACAGUCUCAGAAGAAAUGGCUCACGAUCCUUUACAGAAGGUCCCUGGAUUUGCAGUGCUUGGCAGAGGAAGAGACAUGGGGAAAUACCGAAACUCACUCUAAAGGUAAACAUGGAAAUGUGAGAUUAAAGAGCAUCUGAUACCACAAAUAUCAAAAAGAAAGCAAGAAAUAACUUGAUUUUUGCCUGUGCCUGUGGCCACCUCAAGGAUUUGUCUUCACACGCCACCUUCCUUUGGGACAGUCCUGCCCAGUCCCUUAUCUUUGCGUGGAUCUCACUGAUGCAUCGGAAUUGGCAAGCUCAUCUCAGAGGAUGUGGAAAAUUCCUCAAAUAGCGUUCAGCAUGCCCCGCCCCACCUCACCCUCAGGUUUCUCACAGGCACCUUCUCAGCCCCUUUGCCAAACUUCUAGAUAAUUUGUGCAAAUGGGGAUAAUUUCUACUUCAGAUCAGUUACUCUAUUUCUAUUAGAUGAUUCCCAUUAUUUGUAUACAAGUAUUUUAGUGAUCUUAACCAGGCACUAUAGUGUCUAUAAUUUGCAAACUGCAUUUUCCACAUUACCAAUAUUAAAGUCACUUUAUUCUACUUGUAUACAAAGAAUCUUCUAGAAAAAUCUGAGCAUUUCAUUUGGACCACUUUUGCCUCAUGUUUUUCACUAGGGUCUUAAAGAUCUAAUCUAGCUAGAGCCUUCAUUUGAAAACAUGCCAUCUGGUAAUUUGCCACCAUAAGUUGCUGAGACACUGCACACUUCAUAGUUUUAGCUAAAUGGCUGCUUUCUUUUUUAACCUGCAGCUUCCUCAGAACACAACUUUUUAAUGUUAUUUUUACUAUUCGAAGUAACAUGCAAAGCAUUCACCUCUAAGUGAUAUCCUGUUACUCUCAAUAAAAGAAAAAAAAUCCAAAUGUAACUGAAAUCUAGGAAAGGAGCCCACCCAGACCAGCAAAAUCAGAGGGAAUUGAAAAAACAUUCAAUGCUCGCCAGGUUUGUAAAGUGUUUUUAAAAAUUCUCGUCCUAACCCAACCCCACCUUGUACUUAGGAAGAAGAAAUGCAGGGUAUAAAUAAUGAAGGAAUAGAAUAAAUAGAUAUGACAGUGAUAAUGUGUAUAAAAACAACCAUUCUUUAAGACUUGCGAAGUCAAUUCGUUAGCUAUGUUUUGCUCUCUAUGGAGGUUUAAGAAUAUUGAGAUGUAUAUCUGUUACACAAAAUCAUUCCUUCAGUUCUAAAAAUACUCUCCUGCUACUAACUCAAUUAAAAAAAAGUGCAGCAGGAAAGCUUAAUUAAGCUUUCUAGGUUGUUAAAACUCUGCUUCCAGAAAAAAAUGUACUAUUCUUAGAGUCCCACAGUCCAGUUGCAAGAAACAAGUAAUGUAUUAUCAGUCGAGAAAUGUUGGUUCCUUUCUUGUGCUCAGCACUAAGCCCAUUGCAUGAGGUUUAACUGAGCAAACCCGAGGCUGCUGGGCAGCUAAGGAGAACUUCGUUCUCCCAGUACCCUCAGCCUCAGGAGAGGAGAAUUGAUGAGAAGCCAAAUUCCUUCAGGAAAUUUGGGACUAGUUGAAACCAUCCUACCCCACCUUGCUUUGAUGAUGGCGACUGAUGAUAAGUUUUAAUUUUUCAGCACCUGGCCUUAACAGCACAGCUUCACAGCUCCAAAACAACAACAAAGAAAGAACUAAACACCAUUUGCAGAUUGGCAGGGCUGUUGCUGGCUUUGUGUUGGUUCCAAGGCUGUGCCCCAGGAGAUGGAGCCUGGGGACAGCGCAGGGUCCUGCAGGCACAGGGCUUGACUAAAGUACCAGUAAAGCUGGGUUUCAGGCCGGCUCCUCUGCCAGGCCCCGAGCAGAUCAGGCACAACUUGGUGUGCAGAUCUGCACAGAACCAAGUCUGCAACGACGAACAGCCCCAACGUCAGAAGAAACCAAGGCUUUCCAGUGGUCUAAACAACGAGUCAGAGCCUCAUAACAUCACAGCGAAGAACUACCGUCUCUCCUCAGAGGUCCGGAGAGAUUGGAAGCAGAGAUAUUUGGGCCCACCUCUGUCAAGAGGAAAACGGUGGCAACGGAAAAUUAGGAGAUAGAGCCAAGGUUUCCCAGUCUGAUCGUGAAAGAGUUGCAGCUAAAACUCCAUCCUUUCAUUCACUCCCAGGACGCACUUCAAAGCGGCAGAUCUGUGCUGGGCUCUGGGGACUAAAGGGUGAGCAGCACAGAGCUGGCGCCUGCCUUCAGGGCGCUGAUUUUCUAGGGAAAGAAAACAAACAGUAAACAAAAAUAUACCCAAAUGGAGAGUUACAAAGAAUGGCAAGCGCUAGGAAGGAAAAAGGAAGGUGCCAGGAAAGGGGCUAAAUGGGGCAGACGUGGCGGGGAGUCUGAAAGAUGAGAUGAAGCCAGUCGUGGGCAGAGUUCAGGGCAGAGGGCUAGCAAGCGCAUGGCUCGGAGGCAGGGAUGCGCCUGCGCGCUCGGGCCUGGGGAGCCCAGCGCCCAGGAGGGUGGCGAGCGCUGGGCAGACUGGGCCGACGCGGCGGGGCUGGCAGAGAAGCAGGACGGGAGGGGAGGGUCUGCCGGCAGCGCUGCUGAAGCGAUGGAGGUUUUCUCCCCGGGGACAAUGAGCAGCUGCGAAGCGUUUGGGGCAGGUCGUCGUUCCGUGCCACCUCUUGGUGUGAUGCGGCGGGCAAGAGAUGGGAGGCGGCUGAGCGUGGGACGCGGACAGAGGCCGCGGGAGUCGGGGGAGGGGUCAGGGAGAGUGCCGUGGCUGCUAGGCCAGACCGGAGAAGGAGAGAAACGGGCACAGCAGAGCGGAGAGGAGGAGGGAAACCGGGUAGGAAGGACGACGAGGGAGGGUGAGGCGCAGAGAGGUGGCCCGGGCGUCCACUGCAUCUUCCAGUUCCUGCUCCAUCUCUGUCUUGCUGUCCACGCCCCUUUGGUUUUGGUCUGUCCCUCUGUUCUCUUCAUCAACAGAGCGGUCUCCCU
Molecule: long non-coding RNA, 6626 nt
Filed under: Equus caballus (horse)
Lineage: Eukaryota; Metazoa; Chordata; Mammalia; Perissodactyla; Equidae
Description: lncRNA (ENSECAG00000059408.1)
Source: RNAcentral